RNAcentral lists this long non-coding RNA (279 nucleotides) under Capra hircus (goat). Its description in RNAcentral is "lncRNA (ENSCHIG00000002860.1)". The record is from RNAcentral. Lineage: Eukaryota; Metazoa; Chordata; Mammalia; Artiodactyla; Bovidae.
AUGGUGUGUGUUGUGGGGUGUGAUUGCUCUGUCAGCCCUCCCUGCACUUUACUCCGCUCUCACAUAACUGGUGGAAGGGGCCUACAGGUUUUUUUUCCCCAACCUCACCCUCACUGUGUUUUGCCUUCACAGACCCUCAUUCUCUUUCCAAUAAUGUCCCCAUCGAUCCUCGGCCCAGAGAUGGUCAGCCACGGUGUGAGGUUCAAGGAGAAGUUGAUCAAAAGGUCUUUGUCUCCUGUGAUUUUGGUAAAGGCCCUCUCACCCUGCAGGCCAGGAUGA